Molecule: long non-coding RNA, 1536 nt
Filed under: Felis catus (domestic cat)
Lineage: Eukaryota; Metazoa; Chordata; Mammalia; Carnivora; Felidae
Description: lncRNA (ENSFCAG00000048054.1)
Source: RNAcentral
AUGCUUUACUUUCCAGGCCAAGAGAGCCACCAGGAGAGGACCUGCCCUCCCAGUCAUUACUGUCCCCAGGGCACUGGCCACAUCCCCUUUCCUUGCCCUCAGGACAUGUCCAGUCCAUGGAAGGGCCAAAGCCCAGCCCAGAGCUGUGGGCUAUGUUUUGCAGGAGCUGAAGUCACCCAACCUGACGGAGGCAUCCAUGACAUGGCAGGGGGCCCCUGCCCUCCAGGCCACUUCUGUCCAGUGGGCACAGCAGUGCCCCUGCCUUGCCCUGUGGGUACCUUCUCAGAUCGGAUGUUUCUCACCAUGGCAUCGGAGUGCCUGUCCUGCCCCUUUGGCCAUUUCUGUGGUGCAUCUGGCCUCACUGCCCCCUCUGGACCAUGUUCACCUGGCUACUUCUGUAUGGAAGGAGUCUCCUCCCCAACCCCAGCAGGCCACGCAGAGCAUGGGGGGCCCUGUCCCCAAGGCCACUUCUGCCCCAGUGGGACCAGCCUUCCCCAUCCUUGCCCUGCUGGCUCCUACAGCAACCUGACUGGCCAAGCAUCCUGCUUCCCCUGCCCUGCUGGCUAUUACUGCCCUGAGAACAUCACCACUUACAGCGGGCACCCCUGCCCCACUGGCUUCUACUGCCCCAGAGGCUGGUUCUGCGUCUCAGCAGCCUGGACCGCCCGCCCCUUUGACCUGGACAACUACACCAGCACCAAUUGCCUGUGUCCAGCCACGGCUACAGGGGGGAAGUGUCCAGCUGGAUCCUUCUGCCCUGAGGGCAGCUCAGAACCCAUGCCCUGCCCACCAGGCUCUUUCUGCGCCACCUCUGGCCUGUCCACACCCAGUGGGCCCUGCCAGGCUGGCUACUUCUGUGCCAAGGGAGCAGUGUCCCCAGCUCCAGAGGAUGGGCUGACAGGGGCCCCCUGUCCCCCAGGAACCUUCUGCCCUGCAGCAUCACACAGGCCAACACUGUGUCCCGCUGGCACCUUCUCCGGCCUCGCAGAGCAGACCAUGCCCUCUGCAUGCCAGACCUGUCCACGAAGCUUCUACUGCAAGGAGGCUGGUCUACAGGCCCCCAGUGGGCCUUGCCCAGCAGGUGAGAGGCAGCAAAGAUCUUCAGGUGCAGGGAAGGGGGACAAGGUCUGGGGGGGAGAGCGCCCCAAGGGCAGCUGUCUGGGUCCUGGGCUCCACAGCACAGCUCUCAAGGUCCUUGUGGCAAGAGACCCUGUUAUGUCUAAAUGUCUCAGGGAGAGGAUAGUCUUCCUAAGUGUCCCUCCCUCCUGGCCAGGUUAUUACUGCGACUCUAGUGCUGGGCCCAUCAAGGACUUCAGCCUAUAUCCUUGUCCUCAAGGCUAUUACUGCCCCCUGGGCACAGCCAUGGCCACACACCACAGGUGCCCAGUAGGUACAUAUGGCCCUCGGAGAGGGCUAAGGAGCAUCACUGAAUGCCAGCUGUGCCCUGCUGGGAAAUUCUGUGCACUGGCAGGGCUCGCGGCACCAACAGGUAUGUCCUGGAGGGCAGAAAAGGACUUCGGCAUAGGGUGGGCUUGA